AGCUUUUCGGACCUGUGCUGAGAGUUCGUCAAACACCAACCCAUUAGGGCUGAUCGGACAUCCAAGAUAAGUGAAGUU
RNAcentral lists this microRNA precursor (78 nucleotides) under Schistosoma margrebowiei. Its description in RNAcentral is "mir-3492 microRNA precursor family". It matches the Rfam family "mir-3492 microRNA precursor family". Lineage: Eukaryota; Metazoa; Platyhelminthes; Trematoda; Strigeidida; Schistosomatidae. The record is from Rfam by way of RNAcentral.